Non-coding RNA from Oryzias latipes (Japanese medaka), 82 nucleotides. NCBI's taxonomy places the organism in Eukaryota, Metazoa, Chordata, Actinopteri, Beloniformes, Adrianichthyidae. The record is from Rfam.
GUCAGGAUGGACGAGCGGUCCAAGGCGCUGCGUUCAGGUCGCAGUCUCGUAAGAGGCGUGGGUUCAAAUCCCACUUCUGACA